CAGUCGCCACGGUAAUACGUAGGGCGCAAGCGUUGUCCGGAAUUAUUGGGCGUAAAGAGCUCGUAGGCGGUCUGUCGCGUCUGGUGUGAAAUCCCGAGGCUCAACCUCGGGCUUGCAUCGGGUACGGGCAGACUAGAGUGCGGUAGGGGAGACUGGAAUUCCUGGUGUAGCGGUGGAAUGCGCAGAUAUCAGGAGGAACACCGAUGGCGAAGGCAGGUCUCUGGGCCGCAACUGACGCUGAGGAGCGAAAGCAUGGGGAGCGAACAGGAUUAGAUACCCGAGUAGUCCCUGUCUCUUAUAC
Molecule: ribosomal RNA, 301 nt
Filed under: uncultured bacterium
Lineage: Bacteria
Description: partial 16S ribosomal RNA
Rfam family: Bacterial small subunit ribosomal RNA
Source: RNAcentral